This 497-nucleotide ribosomal RNA is filed under the name uncultured bacterium. Its description in RNAcentral is "partial 16S ribosomal RNA". It matches the Rfam family "Bacterial small subunit ribosomal RNA", at positions 28 to 507 of the family's 1533-position model. The record is from RNAcentral.
GAUGAACGCUGGCGGCGUGCCUAAUACAUGCAAGUCGAGCGAACGGACGAGAAGCUUGCUUCUCUGAUGUUAGCGGCGGACGGGUGAGUAACACGUGGAUAACCUACCUAUAAGACUGGGAUAACUUCGGGAAACCGGAGCUAAUACCGGAUAAUAUUUUGAACCGCAUGGUUCAAAAGUGAAAGACGGUCUUGCUGUCACUUAUAGAUGGAUCCGCGCUGCAUUAGCUAGUUGGUAAGGUAACGGCUUACCAAGGCAACGAUGCAUAGCCGACCUGAGAGAGUGAUCGGCCACACGGGAACUGAGACACGGUCCAGACUCCUACGGGAGGCAGCAGUAGGGAAUCUUCCGCAAUGGGCGAAAGCCUGACGGAGCAACGCCGCGUGAGUGAUGAAGGUCUUCGGAUCGUAAAACUCUGUUAUUAGGGAAGAACAUAUGUGUAAGUAGCUGUGCACAUCUUGACGGUACCUAAUCAGAAAGCCACGGCUAACUACGUG